CUCCCUGUUUCGUGAUAACAGCACGCUUCUGAACAACACCCUUAUAAAACUAUAGAUUUUCUCAAUGGUGGAAUCAGGCUCCUUCUCGUAGGCAUUUCUUCGAACAACCCCCAUGCUCCUCACUCUUCCUUUCGUGUAGAUACCCUGAAGUAAUCAAAUUUCCAGAAGCCACAUCUCUAAUCUCCGUAUCAACUUUCAAAGCUGUAUUACAGUACCCAGAUUUAAUGGGUGCAUAAACAGCCGAUAAGCCACUUGGACAAUCCUCUCUAAACCCCAUGUUGUGAUAGCAAUUCCAGAAUUUUGGAGCGUUUAAUGCCUGUGCUAAAACUUAUGACUGCCUUCCCAACCUUGGAGUCACCC
Molecule: long non-coding RNA, 360 nt
Filed under: Vitis vinifera (wine grape)
Lineage: Eukaryota; Viridiplantae; Streptophyta; Magnoliopsida; Vitales; Vitaceae
Description: long non-coding RNA (VVIN_LNC007122)
Source: RNAcentral